UUGAAUUUGGUUUACUUUUCCACAUUUAGGAAUUUUCUUGUCCGUGGAAUUUGCUUCAGCUUCUAUAUUUCUUCUUUUAUCAGGCUUUAGUCCACUCAAAGAGCCUGUCACCUUCAGCUGUGUUUUUUUCCACCGCUCAGAAAUGAAUUUAGAUUGUAUCUCCACAGCGCCGUGAAGGGGCGUACCUGGUGGCUGAGACAAGUUUCUUUUUCAUGCAGUGGGAGGUGGGUCAACACAGAGGGCGUUACAUCACAGCCUCCAGGACGAAGACAGCAGCUCAGGCUCGUCAGCUGGGAAGGCUGGCCGCUCAGGCUCCUCUCUAGAUGGAGGUCUGGGAGAGUCGAGCCCACAGCUACUCUGGUGCAGGGGCUCCCACUCCUGGUCCGGGGGAGCCACACACCUGGCUCUAAUUCCAGCUGGGCUUCAUUGCUUAAUUGCUUAAUUGAAACCUUAAUUGAACUGACAAGCUGCUUGACUGGAAAAGCCGCAAGUUUUUUAUUUCUACACAAAUGUUUGGAAUUUUAUGCUGCUAAUGAAACAUGGGAGUUACAACGCAACUUUCGACGAGCUGUAAGUACUUUUGACAGCCAAAAAGAAUCAAACAGUUCAAAAUUCAUCCUAUUUCUGAGGCUCAAAUGCUGUAACUGAGAGUCUGACUGCAACUUAACCUAGCUGGUGCAUGAGCCACCAGGCCCAGGGCUGGGAAUCCCUGAACUAUUACUCUCGGGCUGAGAGAAAAAGUCAGCUUGCUGACAGAAGAUUAGACCUUGACUUUGUUUUCUCAAUGUUAUGACAUUGUAAUGCCACUCUGUGAGGUCUUUGGUUGCCACGAGAAACAUGGAUUGUAGGAACAGAAAAAACUUUCAGCUUAAGGGCUUGGUCAAUGUAUUUGCUGAACAAAAAGAUUGCCUCAAUCUCAAACUUCACAAACAGGGCCUUUUGUAAAAAGAGGUUCCCUUCCACAUCGUCACACUACCACUACUAUACUGGUUGGUUUGGGCAGCUUGAAACUGAUCAUAAGGCUCACUGUGAGGUUUCCUGCAGAUGGCUGAGAUGUUCCUGGGCUGGUAUGAUGACCCUCGGUCCUGCAGGACUUGACUCAUUCCUCCCAAAUCUACUUUCCUAGUUUUCUGGACUAGUCUGCUGGUUGUAGAACACCUUCCCUGCACACGUUCUCUCACAGACAGACCCCCUUCUAUCAUUCCUCUAGCAAACAGGAGAACUUGGGUAUUUCAGAGUUCUUGCAUUAAUGGCCACCAUGUCUUUUGAAUGAUUUGAAUUUAUACAGAUUCUUACUAUAGAUCCACCCAGUUCUGACAGUGCUCCUCAAGUGUUCAGCAACCCUACCUGCUCACUAAUUACAAUGGAAUAUUUAGAGCCCAGUGAUGUACUGGUGUAAAAUGUAGUCAAAUAAAUCUUUAUUGCACAUCAGUACAGGAUUUGUGACCAAACAUAACACUGAAAAUCCAUGUGAGCAAAAACCAGAAGAUACUAAAACAUAACAUGAACCUGAAACCCUAAAGAUUGCAUUUACAUGCUAAUUGAUUAUAUGAGUACUGUGUGUAAUUUCAUACAGAAGUGUGAAAGAAAUAUAUUUAAAUUGUGGACUAAUAAAUAAGGAUAAGGCAUCUGAAAUUAGGUGCAGCUUCCUUG
Molecule: long non-coding RNA, 1653 nt
Organism: Lepisosteus oculatus (spotted gar)
Lineage: Eukaryota; Metazoa; Chordata; Actinopteri; Semionotiformes; Lepisosteidae
Source: Ensembl